This is a small nuclear RNA of Nannospalax galili (Upper Galilee mountains blind mole rat), 103 nucleotides long. NCBI's taxonomy places the organism in Eukaryota, Metazoa, Chordata, Mammalia, Rodentia, Spalacidae. The record is from Ensembl.
UUGCUUCAGCAGCACGUACACUGAAAUUGAAACAACACAGAGAAGAUUAGCAUGGCCCCUGCACAUGGAUGACACGAAAAUUUAUUCCAUAUUAAAAAAAUUC